Molecule: RNA transcript, 1559 nt
Organism: Pyrus x bretschneideri (Chinese white pear)
Lineage: Eukaryota; Viridiplantae; Streptophyta; Magnoliopsida; Rosales; Rosaceae
Gene name: nuclear envelope-associated protein 2
Exons: 6
Source: RefSeq, a predicted model, not a curated record
ACCGUCCGUUGGAUCUACCUUCUCUGUUCCUUGGAUUUAACAGAGCACUCAGGUCUUGUCCCUCUGUCUGUGUCAUUUGUUUGGGAAGAAGACAGAUUUCCUAGUGGGUUUUUUGCUCAGCAGCUCUCUUCACUCGAAUUUGGUCUGGCUCACCACCUGCUAUGAAGAGGAUAAGCUUCUUUCACUGCAAAGACUUUAAACCUGUGAUCUUCUGUCCUUCAAGCAACACGGAUCUUCACCGUUAAUCUGACGUGAGCUGAAGAGAUUUCGAAUUUACGAUGUCAAUUUCGGAGAAAUCAAGGCCGUGCUCACCUUCCUCAUCUUCCUCAUCACUGUCACCGAUGUCGGUCCAUGAUUUUGAUCCGUUGCUGAAAGAUUUGAAUGAGAGGAAGCAGAGUUUUCGCCGGAAUGUGGUGUCGUUGGCAUCGGAGUUGAAAGAUGUUCGGAGCCGGUUAGCGUCUCAGGAGCAAUCAUUUGUUAAAGAAACCCUCACAAGACAGGAAGCAGAGACAAAAGCCAAACACUUGGAAGAGGACAUUAGCAUAAUGCAGAAGAGAUUGGAACAGAGAAAUCAGCAGCUUGAGGUCUCAGCAUCUGCUGCCGAGAAGUACCUCACCGAAUUGGAUGGUCUGAGAUCACAACUUUCAGCCACUCAAGCAACUGCGGAUAUUAGUGCUGCAUCAGCUCAAUCGGCACAGCUUCAGUGUUUAGCACUUUUGAAGGAAUUAGAUGAAAAGAACUGCUCGUUAAAAGAGCAAGAUGAUCGUGUAAUUAGGCUAGGAGAGCAAUUAGAUAAUCUGCCCGAAGGAUCUUAAGCUAGAGAGUGUUCCCAGAAGCAACUGAAAGAUGAAGUUUGAGAAUGGAGCAGGAUAUUAUGCAAGCUGUCGCAAAAGCGGGGCUGAACAAGGCCUGGUGAGCUGCGGGAAAAUAUUGGAUGAGGUAUCUCCAAAGAAUAUUGUAGAAGAAGAGAUCAAUAAGCUUUUAGUUGUGAAGGAUGAAGAAAUAGCAAAACUGAAAGAUGAAAUCAGGGUAAUGUCUGCUCAUUGGAAGCUCAAAACUAAGGAGUGUGAAUCACAGUUGGAGAAACAACGACGAGUUGAUCAGGAACUGAAAAAGAGGGUUUUGAAAUUAGAGUUUUGUCUACAGGAAGCUCGUGCUCAAACACGAAAGCUUCAAAGGAUGGGUGAGCGGAGAGACAAGGCUCUGAAAGAGCUCAGAGAUCAGUUACAGCAGGGUGGCGGUGGAGCUGCAGCUGCUGAAAGACAAAACUUUUGGGAAACCUCCGGUUUAAAAUCAUGAUGUCUAUGUCCAUGUUGAUCUUGGUGGUGUUCUCAAAGCGAUGAAAUCAUUGUACUGUCGAGUGUCGUGUAUAAACAGCAUGAAACUUUAGUUUUAGUCAAAGAAUUAGGAGUAGCUGCACAGGCCACAGUUGUAGAGGUUCUCGUUACGUAGCAUUAGCAGAUAAUGCAAUUUUGUUGUUCUCGUUAAAACCACAUUAGCGUAUGAAUAUCAAAUUUGCAGGUAGGUUCUGUGAAUUUUAAUACCUCAAGUUUUCCUCA